Molecule: ribosomal RNA, 464 nt
Filed under: Vreelandella stevensii
Lineage: Bacteria; Pseudomonadati; Pseudomonadota; Gammaproteobacteria; Oceanospirillales; Halomonadaceae
Description: partial 16S ribosomal RNA
Rfam family: Bacterial small subunit ribosomal RNA
Source: RNAcentral
CCACGGGAGGCAGCAGUGGGGAAUAUUGGACAAUGGGCGAAAGCCUGAUCCAGCCAUGCCGCGUGUGUGAAGAAGGCCUUCGGGUUGUAAAGCACUUUCAGUGGGGAAGAAAGCCUUGGGGCUAAUACCCUCGAGGAAGGACAUCACCCACAGAAGAAGCACCGGCUAACUCCGUGCCAGCAGCCGCGGUAAUACGGAGGGUGCGAGCGUUAAUCGGAAUUACUGGGCGUAAAGCGCGCGUAGGCGGUCUGAUAAGCCGGUUGUGAAAGCCCCGGGCUCAACCUGGGAACGGCAUCCGGAACUGUCAGGCUAGAGUGCAGGAGAGGAAGGUAGAAUUCCCGGUGUAGCGGUGAAAUGCGUAGAGAUCGGGAGGAAUACCAGUGGCGAAGGCGGCCUUCUGGACUGACACUGACGCUGAGGUGCGAAAGCGUGGGUAGCAAACAGGAUUAGAUACCCCUGUAGUC